Molecule: long non-coding RNA, 288 nt
Filed under: Hordeum vulgare
Lineage: Eukaryota; Viridiplantae; Streptophyta; Magnoliopsida; Poales; Poaceae
Description: long non-coding RNA (HVUL_LNC002253)
Source: RNAcentral
CUCAGCAUGUUCGACGCGUUCCUCUUCAGCAUCUUCGCCCCCCGCUCCAUCGCCAGUUUGUCUUCCCCUGUUAGGAGUCCUGGCCAAUAUGCCAGGAAUCCACAAGCAGAAUAAACCACAUCAAAAGGGGACCCCAACUUCUUCUUCUCAAAUGUCGCGCGAUUACGACAGUUUCACAAUGCCCAACAGAUAGCAGCCAAACCACAAGUAUAAAACCUAACACCAUUAGGCAUAUAGGCAAAGCACCAAGCGUAAAAUUGUCAAAGAUUAUCAGGACCAUUACUGGUC